This 355-nucleotide unclassified non-coding RNA is filed under the name soil metagenome. Its description in RNAcentral is "partial contains 5.8S ribosomal RNA, internal transcribed spacer 2, and large subunit ribosomal RNA". The stretch from base 1 to 120 matches the Rfam family "5.8S ribosomal RNA", at positions 35 to 154 of the family's 154-position model. The record is from RNAcentral.
GAUGAAGAACGCAGCGAAACGCGAUAGUUAAUGUGAAUUGCAGAAUUCAGUGAAUCAUCGAGUCUUUGAACGCACAUUGCGCCCCUCGGUAUUCCGGAGGGCAUGUCUGUUUGAGCGUCAUUUCAACACCCUCGCUUUAAGCGGUAUUGAGGCGUGGAAUCCAUAUCAAUGGAACCAAGCUUUUAAAGUUGAAGGCAAGCAGAACGAAUGUCUUGAACAAAACAUAGUAAAAUCUUCACGGUUUCUCCUGUUUGUCCUCGAUGUUACGUCUCGCCCAAACAAUUUUUUUUUUUAGUUUUGACCUCAGAUCAGACAAGGAUACCCGCUGAACUUAAGCAUAUCAAUAAGCGGAGGA